This 1636-nucleotide long non-coding RNA is filed under the name Daphnia pulex (common water flea). Its description in RNAcentral is "uncharacterized LOC124194471, transcript variant X10". The record is from RNAcentral. Lineage: Eukaryota; Metazoa; Arthropoda; Branchiopoda; Diplostraca; Daphniidae.
AAAAAAAUCGUAUAAAAGGAUAGAGAAAAGGCGAUGGAAAUCAGUCGAGUGAAAAUCUCCGACACGGUAACAACUGCAACGCACUAUUGUUACCAACUUCCUUCUUCAUCGUUUUAACCCGUUCGUAAUCAUGGUUAUCUAUGGCGACGUCCUGCUGUUGAUGGCUGAGUCGGGACUGGUGUACCGGUGGUGUAACGCCGCCUUACUAAACAAAAACAAAAAUCGAUUACUACACCACCAAGGUUCCAGAGUAUUAUGCCAAAACUUAUGAUGCCCCAAGCUACUACCGUACACCGAUCCCCGAAAAUCCUUGAUCUUCAUUAAAUUACGUGUACGUGAUAGCUGCCGUGGAGUUCAGGUUUUUAUGGAGGGUUUGAUGAUUGAGCUGUCUUGUUGUGGGUGUUUGGGGUGCAGUGGUUCGGGAGUGGGUGGUUUGAGAUGCGUUGAAAUGGAGCUUGUGCAGACUUUGUUGCUUAAUGAGUUUGUCCACCAGGGGGCAACUUUCAGGUUUUAUCAAAUUGGCAACAUAGCAAGCUUAUGCCGGUGACGUCAUUUCUGUUCUGUUGCGUUGCGCUGUCAGUUAUGGUGUUCGUCAUCAGUCAACAUUCUUCUUCACAAAUCUCCUCAAGCCUUUUCCCCGUACGUUUGUUGGCUAUCUGUUGGACGGAUUAAUGGCUUAGUGAAGUCAAGUUUUUUCAAGGCAGUCCAAUGUCUACUUGGACUUGUUGCAGCCCGCUGGUUAAUGGUAUGGAGAGCUGUUGUUUGAAGACCAUGCGCUGUUGUGAUGAGUUUCUGCAUGCAGUCUGUGAUGCCGGUGUUGGGAAAUGCUGCAUGCUGUCUGUAGAGUGUAGUGCUAGCAUUGAAUUUGAAGAACUUCCUUCCUCAACAAUUGAUUGUUUGGAACAUUCAUUUUUUAUUUGAAAGCUUAAGUUUCCAUAGUCAGUUACAUGUUUGAGUUUAUAUUUGGUGUGCAGUUCAUGUUCUGGUGGUUUUGUUGCAGCCAGCUGUUGAAAGGGAGCUAGUCAAAUUGAAUUGCUGGUUCUGGAAUCAAUCUACAUUCCUGGUGUCAUCGGAGUGUAACAGCUUCCAGCAACGUAAUCAUCUUGAAAUGGACUUAUGACAAUCUGAUGCAUCUGUCUUGGUGAUAAUGAUAAUCAACCUACUGCAUGCAGUCUAUGCAGCUGGUGUUCUCCAGAAAUAUUGAAGGAAGACUUGAAACACAGCUGCAGGAAUACUUAAAGAAAUGGAUGGUGAAAAUGUUCAGCGGUUUCGUAGUCUGAUUCCUGUUCAAGAUUUUAUCCUGAAUUGCGCUGAAUUCCUUUCAGUAACUGAUUCUGAUGGCAUCCGUUGCUGUUCCGUAAAAAUACGAGUUGAUAAAAAUUUAUUAUCCGAGUUGUGUUUCAUCCUGUGUAUGUAAUUGAACAUAUUGAUGUCUUUUUACUCUCCAAGAGAUGUUGCAACGAAAGUUAUAACUGUGGUCAUCCUAGAUGAUUGAAAUACCUCGAUCCUAAUUAGUUCAUUUACUUGAUAAUUGUGUUAGUUAAACUUGAAAUUUUUUGUUAAGCCUUGCAAAUAUGUUAUUGAAAUCUUGUUUUACAUUGAUUUAAAUAUUGCAAUAAAUAAAAAAACAACUAAG